UGCAGAAUCCCGUGAACCAUCGAGUCUUUGAACGCAAGUUGCGCCUGAAGCCAUUAGGCUAAGGGCACGUCUGCCUGGGCGUCACGC
This 87-nucleotide ribosomal RNA is filed under the name Mertensia virginica. RNAcentral describes it as "partial 5.8S ribosomal RNA". It matches the Rfam family "5.8S ribosomal RNA", at positions 73 to 154 of the family's 154-position model. From Rfam's summary of the family: 5.8S ribosomal RNA (5.8S rRNA) is a component of the large subunit of the eukaryotic ribosome. Lineage: Eukaryota; Viridiplantae; Streptophyta; Magnoliopsida; Boraginales; Boraginaceae. RNAcentral also lists the same sequence under 2 other names. The record is from RNAcentral.